AUUCAUGUCCUGAUGGCUACGAUCUCAACUAUACCCUACCGAUGUUUAAGAGGUGUGAUGCGAAGAUGGUUAAUGGUAGCCUGGUGCAGCUCAUCCCCAAGCUCAUUCCUCGGCAAUUAGGCGCUCAGAGUUGCAACUACGGACGACGUCACGACGGUGUUCCGGCGGGUUAUCGUAUUUGCCGUAUUCCAGAUUGCUUGAGCAAUCCAUGUCAAAGUGGGUGGUGUGAAGAACAGAUGACUAACUACACUUGUCAUUGUCUACCAGGAUUUGUUGGAAUACAUUGCGAAACUGAGAGUACCACAGCCACACCAGAAAGUAAAUCGCUGUCAACUCAACGAAAUACUGCA
This is a long non-coding RNA of Lytechinus pictus (painted urchin), 350 nucleotides long. RefSeq lists it as uncharacterized. The record is from RefSeq and is a predicted model, not a curated record. NCBI's taxonomy places the organism in Eukaryota, Metazoa, Echinodermata, Echinoidea, Temnopleuroida, Toxopneustidae. The transcript has 3 exons.